RNAcentral lists this long non-coding RNA (3168 nucleotides) under Gallus gallus (chicken). RNAcentral's name for it is "long non-coding RNA NONGGAT002918". Lineage: Eukaryota; Metazoa; Chordata; Aves; Galliformes; Phasianidae. The record is from RNAcentral.
CCGACACAAAGGCACCAAAAAGACGGGAAUUCAUUUGGCUUUCUGCUCCCUGCCACCUGGGAUACUCAAAAGGGUCUGAGCUGCUGUUGUAGGUACGCACACAGACAUGAAGAACGGCCGUAGCAAAGCAGAGAGCACAAGCUGUGAGACAACAGCCAGCUGUGCCUCUGCAUCCCCAGGACAGAGCGGAGGGGCUGAUAAGGGGUAAUUCAAACAGCACUACCCUGGGGCUGGAUCCAGGCCCAGAACAUGAUCAGCUGCAUCGCCUCACCUCUACCAAGGGGAAGCUUUAUUCAAAUUGCCUUACCUGCCCCUCUGCACAACCACUCCAACCACUGAGCCAGGCUCUGUUCUGGUCCUGCCUCCCACACUGCUGCACAGAGACGCUCUCUACAUCUGCCUGCUGAGCUCUGCAACAAAGCACGAGGAGCCUUAUCUCUGACUGCCUUCAGUUAAACACUGCCUUGGACAUUCCCUCAAUCACCCCUGCUGGAAAAUCACAGCCAGCCCAAAUGUUUCCUUCCCCAUAUCAGGCCAGGUACUUCAUCACACCCAUCUGGCUGGCUUGCAGGUGCCAGACGGAUGACAAGGGAAGCCAGACUGAGCGUGUCCUCCCCAUACUGUCCUCCUGUGUCCCCACACGCUUUGUUUGAUGGCUCUGUCUGAGCCAGACCUGCCAGGAGAGGAUGGACUAACAAAGAAAACCAUUCGCAUCACCAUCAGGGUCAGAAACUCCCCAGUCACCUGGAGAGCAAACACCAGCUUCACAGCAGUGACAAAAAUGCAUAAAGCCAGAGCCAAAACAACUAAGCUGAAGCCAAGAAGACUGAACCAUUUCUACUCCAUAUUCCUAUUCAAAUGAGACAAAUUCAUUUGAACUGAGAGAAAGCAGAACACAACAGACCAAACCCUGCACAGCCUUGUCUUAGGGUGGCUGAUGGCACCAAUGAAGUCCCCUGCUUGGCAAGAGAGGCAGGGAUCAAGUACCCUACAGGAGUAGGGCACACCUACACGCAUAGCCCUGUUCUCAUGCUCUGCUGCAGGGUGCAGAGAUUACCAGGGGAGCCACAAGAAGCUGAGUGACUUCCUGCUGCAAGGAUGCUAAAAAAUAAACAACCAAAAAAAAAAAACCCACCAGCAAAACAACCCAAAACCUACAAGGCCUGGAGGAGAACAGCUCCUUACAGAGAAGCCUGCUUUCAAAUCCAGGUUCUUUGCUUAACAAAUCAGGGCAGUUUACGCUUCUCAGACUGAUAUAGAUCUAAAUGUCUCUAUGCUCCAGUUAGAGCAAUGAAAAAAACACCAGUGGAUCUUAGCAGGCACUGCUACUAAACAAGACACAGCUCCUACUGAAGACCUGUAUAAGCACUGGGAUUCUAACAACACCUAGAAGACGAAGCAAACAACUUCAAGCUUACUGCCCUUUCAUCCCUGGGUUUGCUCUUAAGAUCUGCUCUCUCUGAAGUCUGCCUUCUCCUUCCAAGUGUGGUAGGGACUCUCUUGCAUGAGUAGAAAUGGCCAGUCUGGAGAAGCAAUUGGAAAGAAGUUCAAUUGUUUGCUUUUUAGCACUCAGAAUGAUAGUCAGGCCCAUUGCAGUGAUGCAUGCUAUCAGAAAGUCAGCAAAGGUUCAGUGCCACUGCUGCAGACAUGAGCACUGUGACACCCUGAGCUCCUGUUUUAGGGCUCAUGAGCUGACAGCUCAUAUCACAGCUUGAGGGCUAUGAAGAAGUAAAGGAUUCAGCUGCUCUGGCCCAGCAGAAAGGUUGCCCCUCAAAUUCUGCUGACCCUUCUCAGCUCAAAGAAAGGCUGAGCCACUGCACAGCAUCAAACCUGAGAACAACUGCUAGGAAAACUCGGGUGCAGGAAGGAGCAGCAGCAAGGACGUGGCUCAGAGCAGCUGUACCAGGAAGAGAGCACUUAUACGAACAAGACAGCAUGAGGUAAAGCUCACCAGGACUGAUGGUAACCUAGCCCCACCUGGCCUAAAUCCUUCUCCUGAACACAAACGCCUCCUUGGCGACACCAUAGGCCAAGAGCAUAGGAACCAGCUCAAGGUCAGCAACUCCAGGCCAGAAGGUGCAGGGAGGGCUCAGACCAUCAGUCAGGCACAGGCUCUACAAGUGGAAGCAGAAGCCUCUUGCAGAAAGAUCCCUGGGGGAAGGUGGGUGACCUGGCUCAUCAGCCCGUCACCAAGCAACAGGGAAAUCGAUGGGCCUUGUCUCCAGUGUUCUGCUUGCUUCCAGAUCUCUGGAGAGCAACAAAUCACCUUGUGCCUUAGUACUGAAAUGUUGGAUGUCUGCCCCUUGAUAUGCAGAAGGCUGUGCUAAGGGCAGAUGCUAACCAGCUCUGCACUUCUCACCAUUGCAGGCAGGUCUGGUCUGUUGAACAGUGUGUGAAAGCUCUCAGGAGCAUCCCCAAGGUUGCUCCACUCUGUCCCAUGUCACAGCAGGGGAACUGAUCAGUAUGAAGCUCAAGGAACAAGGACCUCCUUGUUAGGGUAUUUGAUUCUCAGCUUCUUCUGAUGGACAGGUCACUUGCUAAAAGGGGCAAAAUAAGAAACUGGGCUUAAAAUGAACCUUUUAAAAUAAAACAAUACUAAAAGAAACAAAAGCCAUAAUCAAAACAGAAAACAAGUGCAUCUGAUCAGAUGCAAACGUCAGCCUUUCGCAGGCUACAGCGGAAUCCCUCUGCAAUGGAUCUAACAUUACAAUUGUCAGACUAGGAAAGUCUCUCCCAACUGGUGCAGCAAAUCAGGCCAGAUAAAUUCCUCCUCUCCUGGCACAGUCUGCGCUCUUAGGAAGGGAAACAUCCCCACAGAGGCUGAGUGGCCAGCUGGAGCCUUGGUAUCUUUACUCAGGCCUGGUCAUAAGAGCUGCUUUCCCGCUUCGGGAAAUGUAUUCCACCCAGCAAAGGCAGAGAUCUUGCAGCACGCAGCUUUCUUUCAGUAUGGGAUGUGGCCCAGGACUGCUACCAUCUGCUUCCGAUAGCCCAAUACACAGCCAGCCAGGACUCAGUUCACUCUUGGAUGUCCCAGGGAGGAUCAGAGGCUGCACAUGGUGCGACGGGGAAGGCAAGGGCCUUGCUGCUUGCUGGCAGGGGGAAGGUAAGCUUCUUCCUCUUACCUGGACCUGCUAUUCAUUCCAAAUGAAUCACCUUUUUUUGUUUGUU